CGCGUGCUUGCACCUGGUGGCGAGUGGCGAACGGGUGAGUAAUGCGUCGGAACGUACCGAGUAAUGGGGGAUAACGUAGCGAAAGUUGUGCUAAUACCGCAUACGACCUGAGGGUGAAAGUGGGGGACCGCAAGGCCUCACGUGAUUGGAGCGGCCGACGUCUGAUUAGCUAGUUGGUGGGGUAAGGGCCUACCAAGGCGACGAUCAGUAGCGGGUCUGAGAGGAUGAUCCGCCACACUGGGACUGAGACACGGCCCAGACUCCUACGGGAGGCAGCAGUGGGGAAUUUUGGACAAUGGGCGCAAGCCUGAUCCAGCCAUUCCGCGUGAGUGAAGAAGGCCUUCGGGUUGUAAAGCUCUUUCGGCAGGAACGAAACGGCGGGCUCUAACAUAGCCUGUUACUGACGGUACCUGCAGAAGAAGCACCGGCUAACUACGUGCCAGCAGCCGCGGUAAUACGUAGGGUGCGAGCGUUAAUCGGAAUUACUGGGCGUAAAGCGUGCGCAGGCGGAUUGUUAAGCAAGACGUGAAAUCCCCGGGCUUAACCUGGGAAUGGCGUUUUGAACUGGCAGUCUAGAGUGCGUCAGAGGGGGGUGGAAUUCCACGUGUAGCAGUGAAAUGCGUAGAGAUGUGGAGGAACACCGAUGGCGAAGGCAGCCCCCUGGGAUGACACUGACGCUCAUGUACGAAAGCGUGGGUAGCAAACAGGAUUAGAUACCCUGGUAGUCCACGCCCUAAACGAUGUCAACUGGUUGUUGGGGGAGUGAAAUCCCUUAGUAACGAAGCUAACGCGUGAAGUGACCGCCUGGGA
This 810-nucleotide ribosomal RNA is filed under the name uncultured bacterium. Its description in RNAcentral is "bacterial SSU rRNA". It matches the Rfam family "Bacterial small subunit ribosomal RNA", at positions 73 to 878 of the family's 1533-position model. The record is from RNAcentral.